GAUGAAGAACGUAGCGAAAUGCGAUAAGUAAUGUGAAUUGCAGAAUUCCGUGAAUCAUCGAGUCUUUGAACGCACAUUGCGCCCCCUGGUAUUCCGGGGGGCAUGCCUGUCCGAGCGUCAUUGCUGCCCUCAAGCACGGCUUGUGUGUUGGGCUCCGCCCCCCUCCCGGGGGGCGGGCCCGAAAGGCAGCGGCGGCACCGCGUCCGGUCCUCGAGCGUAUGGGGCUUUGUCACCCGCUCUGUAGGCCCGGCCGGCGCCCGCCGGCGACCCCAAUCAAUCUUUCCAGGUUGACCUCGGAUCAGGUAGGGAUACCCGCUGAACUUAAGCAUAUCAAUAGCGGAGGA
RNAcentral lists this unclassified non-coding RNA (344 nucleotides) under soil metagenome. RNAcentral describes it as "partial contains 5.8S ribosomal RNA, internal transcribed spacer 2, and large subunit ribosomal RNA". The stretch from base 1 to 120 matches the Rfam family "5.8S ribosomal RNA", at positions 35 to 154 of the family's 154-position model. The record is from RNAcentral.